AUGGUCCUUAACUCAUGUAGGAUUCGAAGACAGGACCUCCUGUUCCAUCAAGAAGAACGCAACCAACUGAACUCCAUUACGCUUGUGUUGAAAACCAAUGUUCCUUCUCAAAUAAUUAGUCCCACCUCACUUCUUUGCACUAAUUCUCACCAAUUUAAAUACGUGGGAGUUAAACAAGUCAACAAGCAGCCUGACUUGAUACAGAAAGAUAACGUGAGAAGAGAACUUGGAAGGGCCCUGUGGAGGGAGAGAGAAGAAAAAGCAUGUAUCAGACCUGGACAAGGAGGGCUGGGUGGAAACACGAGGGAACAAGGACACGGCUGGUAA
This 327-nucleotide ribosomal RNA is filed under the name Triticum aestivum (bread wheat). RNAcentral describes it as "partial small subunit ribosomal RNA". The record is from RNAcentral. Lineage: Eukaryota; Viridiplantae; Streptophyta; Magnoliopsida; Poales; Poaceae.